UACAUUUUGGUGUAUGAUGCACGAGAAUUUUUGAUAUUCUCAGGGGUAGUUUAAUUCUGCUGGGUGUAA
This 69-nucleotide transfer RNA is filed under the name Ergaula nepalensis. RNAcentral describes it as "tRNA-Gln". The record is from RNAcentral. Lineage: Eukaryota; Metazoa; Arthropoda; Insecta; Blattodea; Corydiidae.